UGAGUGCGAGCUGCUACGGCAGCGAAGUUGGUGACGUCAUGCUUCCAAGAAAAGCCCUAUACCCGUUAAGGCAUCAUGGCCUGUACCCGAAACCGACACAGGUGGGGUGGUAGAGAAUACCGAGGGGCGCGAGGUAACUCUCUCUAAGGAACUCGGCAAAAUGACCCCGUAACUUCGGGAGAAGGGGUGCCACCGCAAGGUGGUCGCAGUGAAGAGGCCCAGGCGACUGUUUACCAAAAACACAGGUCUCCGCUAAGUCGCAAGACGAUGUAUGGGGGCUGACGCCUGCCCAGUGCCGGAAGGUUAAGGAAGCUGGUCAGCGUAAGCGAAGCUGGCGACUGAAGCCCCGGUGAACGGCGGCCGUAACUAUAACGGUCCUAAGGUAGCGAAAUUCCUUGUCGGGUAAGUUCCGACCCGCACGAAAGGCGUAACGAUCUGGGCGCUGUCUCGGAGAGAGGCUCGGCGAAAUAGAAUUGUCUGUGAAGAUGCGGACUACGUGCACCCGGACAGAAAGACCCUAUGAAGCUUUACUGUAGCUUGGUAUUGUGCCCGGGCUCUGAAUGCGCAGGAUAGGUGGGAUGCUUUGAUCAACAGCUUGCGGGUUGUUGUGAGCCAACGGUGAGAUACCACUCCUUCAGAGCUAGGGUUCUAACAGUCACCCGUUAUCCGGGGACUGGACAGUAUCUGGUGGGCAGCUUGACUGGGGCGGUCGCCUCCUAAAAGGUAACGGAGGCGCGCAAAGGUUUGCUCAGGCUGGUUGGAAAUCAGCCGACGAGUGUAAAAGCAGAAGCAAGCUUGACUGUGAGACCUACAAGUCGAACAGGGAGGAAACUCGGCUUUAGUGAUCCGACGGUUCUGCGUGGAAGGGCCGUCGCUCAACGGGUAAAAGCUACUCUAGGAUAACAGGCUGAUCUCCCCCAAGAGUUCACAUCGACGGGGAGGUUUGGCACCUCGAUGUCGGCUCAUCGCAACCUGGGGCUGAAGUCGGUCCCAAGGGUUGGGCUGUUCGCCCAUUAAAGCGGUACGCGAGCUGGGUUCAGAACGUCGUGAGACAGUUCGGUCCAUAUCCGGUGCAUGCGCAGGAAUAUUGGGAGGAUUUCUCCCUAGUACGAGAGGACCGGGAGGAACGCACCUCUGGUGUACCAGUUAUCGUGCCAACGGUAAACGCUGGGUAGCCAUGUGCGGAGUGGAUACCCGCUGAAAGCAUCUAAGUGGGAAGCCCACCUCAAGAUGAGUAUUCCCAUGGCGUUAGCCAGUAAGGUCACGGGAAGAACACCCGUUGAUAGGCUCUAUGUGGAAGCGCAGUAAUGCGUGAAGCAGAGGAGUACUAAUAGACC
RNAcentral lists this ribosomal RNA (1337 nucleotides) under metagenome. RNAcentral describes it as "bacterial LSU rRNA". It matches the Rfam family "Bacterial large subunit ribosomal RNA", at positions 1564 to 2910 of the family's 2925-position model. The record is from RNAcentral.